Molecule: non-coding RNA, 899 nt
Organism: Malus domestica (apple)
Lineage: Eukaryota; Viridiplantae; Streptophyta; Magnoliopsida; Rosales; Rosaceae
Source: RefSeq, a predicted model, not a curated record
GUUAAUGAAGGAGAAAUAAGGAAACAAGGGAAGGGGUAAUUUUAUCUUUUGGACCCCUAUGUAUGGAAGGUCCCAGAUUUAGGAAGGGAGCUCUUCUCGUUUUAGAAAACAGCUAUGCAAGUCGACUUGGUUGCCUCGGAAUCUCUCUGCAAUUUUGAUUGUUUUUGGACAAACUUUCAUACGCCGAUUCCAAUGAAUUUUGUCGACGACAAUCUUGGCCACCAUAUGGGAUAGACUCCUCUCGUCCCCAUGGUCAUUUCCCACCCAAGAUCAACCUAGUUUGGCUCUCAUUUGUGGCGGAUUGAGUCUUGAGAAUUCCGGGACUUUGAUGCCGACGAUCUGCCUUCUCCGUUCACCUCAACGUCGAUGACUGCCUCCACUGCAUUAACCUCAAUUUGGGCUGCAAACUCCGAGCUUUAAAUUUGACGUUCGAGCUCUAUUAAAGACUCGACAAGGCUUCAAUUUGACAUAAUAUGGGUCAUUUUUUGUUAUGGCCACAAUCCGGCGAGUCAUAGCCACUAAUUAUCGUGUGCGAUGGCGGGUGGCAGUGGUGUGUAGGCUCGAUGCCCACUUUGUCUACUUAGGCCAAUUCAUGUGCCCUGAAUUUGGUUUUUGACACCCCUUUGACAAGAUUUGACUGUUUGAUCCUAGUUUCGUAAAGGUCCGCCACACGGCCUUUCUAGUAGAUGAAGAUCUGACUGUUGGAUCCUUAUGAAAUUAUAGUAUGUGGUUAUACGUAAUACUUUAGGAUCUUAGGAAUUUACAGGUUGGAAGUUCGACGUACAGGUCAUCCGGAUUAAAUUAUUAGGGUUGUUAACCGUAUCGUUGACCACAUUAACCAAGGGUUGACAUUUGGUCAAAAUGUUCCAAAUCGUUCUUAAGUACUGAAAUUAACAUUA